RNAcentral lists this long non-coding RNA (563 nucleotides) under Rattus norvegicus (Norway rat). Its description in RNAcentral is "long non-coding RNA NONRATT025376". Lineage: Eukaryota; Metazoa; Chordata; Mammalia; Rodentia; Muridae. The record is from RNAcentral.
GUGCAGGCUGUGUCGCAGGCUGGCUCCCCACACACCCCACCCCCACGGUGCCCCCCAGCGUCCCCCAGGAAAAGCCUGCCCCCCCACAGCUGCCAAGAGCCCCCCGACCUGGGAAUACCUGUAGAAAAACCAUAAAAACUUAGAUCAUUUGUCUGCAAAUUCCCACUGCAAACUCUUUGCUUAUAGGCAAAAUGAUACAAAAAUAGGGAGCUAACAGAACUUUUACAAAAAGCCCACACCCCGUCUUUGUUUGCGGUGUGGUUCGCGUCAUGGUUUUUUUGUUUUGUUUUGUUUUGUUUUUUGCUUGUGGUUUUGGUAUGAAUUCCUGCCGUGGAAGAAAGCAUUGUGUGCUUGUGGCCCAACCCUAGUUUGUGGCCUCUGGUGUCCUAGGAACGGAGUGAAGCCCUCCAGGAGCGGAGGGGCCUCGAGGCUAGCUGUCCAUACUCUGAAGACACCUCCUGUUAGUGUGGUAGAGGCCACUCAGAGAGAAGGCUGCUGGAAAGGAAAAUUAACCCGGAUCUUAAAAGAAAGCUGGCCGGAACAGGCCUGCCCUGCUACACAAA